RNAcentral lists this ribosomal RNA (468 nucleotides) under uncultured bacterium. Its description in RNAcentral is "partial 16S ribosomal RNA". It matches the Rfam family "Bacterial small subunit ribosomal RNA", at positions 28 to 507 of the family's 1533-position model. The record is from RNAcentral.
GAUGAACGCUGGCGGCGUGCUUAACACAUGCAAGUCGAACGGAAAGGCCCAAGCUUGCUUGGGUACUCGAGUGGCGAACGGGUGAGUAACACGUGGGUGAUCUGCCCUGCACUUCGGGAUAAGCCUGGGAAACUGGGUCUAAUACCGGAUAGGACGAUGGUUUGGAUGCCAUUGUGGAAAGUUUUUUCGGUGUGGGAUGAGCUCGCGGCCUAUCAGCUUGUUGGUGGGGUAAUGGCCUACCAAGGCGUCGACGGGUAGCCGGCCGGAGAGGGUGUACGGCCACAUUGGACCUGAGAUACGGCCCAGACUCCUACGGGGGGCAGCAGUGGGGAAUAUUGCACAAUGGGCGCAAGCCUGAUGCAGCGACGCCGCGUGGGGGAUGACGGCCUUCGGGUUGUAAACUCCUUUCGCUAGGGACGAAGCGUUUUUGUGACGGUACCUGGAGAAGAAGCACCGGCUAACUACGUG